Molecule: ribosomal RNA, 562 nt
Filed under: uncultured Phenylobacterium sp.
Lineage: Bacteria; Pseudomonadati; Pseudomonadota; Alphaproteobacteria; Caulobacterales; Caulobacteraceae
Description: bacterial SSU rRNA
Rfam family: Bacterial small subunit ribosomal RNA
Source: RNAcentral
ACUCCUACGGGAGGCAGCAGUGGGGAAUUUUGCGCAAUGGGGGAAACCCUGACGCAGCCAUGCCGCGUGAAUGAUGAAGGUCUUAGGAUUGUAAAAUUCUUUCACCGGGGAAGAUAAUGACGGUACCCGGAGAAGAAGCCCCGGCUAACUUCGUGCCAGCAGCCGCGGUAAUACGAAGGGGGCUAGCGUUGCUCGGAAUUACUGGGCGUAAAGGGCGCGUAGGCGGAUGUUUAAGUCGGGGGUGAAAGCCCGGGGCUCAACCUCGGAAUUGCCUUCGAUACUGGACAUCUUGAGUACGGGAGAGGUGAGUGGAACUCCGAGUGUAGAGGUGAAAUUCGUAGAUAUUCGGAAGAACACCAGUGGCGAAGGCGACUCACUGGCCCGUUACUGACGCUGAGACACGAAAGCGUGGGUAGCAAACAGGAUUAGAUACCCUGGUAGUCCACGCCCUAAACGAUGCAUAUUUGGUGUGGGUCAUUCAGUUGAUCCGUGCCGGAGCUAACGCGUUAAAUAUGCCGCCUGGGGAGUACAGUCGCAAGGCUGAAACUCAAAGGAAUUGACG